Cimex lectularius (bed bug) is the source of this 380-nucleotide long non-coding RNA. RefSeq lists it as uncharacterized. Lineage: Eukaryota; Metazoa; Arthropoda; Insecta; Hemiptera; Cimicidae. The transcript has 2 exons. The record is from RefSeq and is a predicted model, not a curated record.
UUAUAUAAAAUUGAAGUACAAUUGUAAAAUUAAUCAUUAAUGAGAGUAAAAACAAUUAUACUUACAGAUGGUUGUAUGAUUUAAAUAUCUGAGUGUUAAAAGUUAAAUCUCACAGGAAUUUUUUCGAUAUUUUGAUCUAUUUCCAAAAAACGAUUACAGAUUUGUUAUUAUACAGGCUCAAGUCCCCACAUCUUUUGCUAUUUACAGUAAACCACCAGUAGACUCAAGAAUUACCCACCCUGUGUGUUGCCAGUCCAGGGUCAGAUAUCAGUCUUAUCCGUCCAGCCACUGAGGUUUGGCUCCAGGUGCUGCCAACAGCAAGCUCAAUAGCUCGUCAAUUCAGCACCCAAUGCAUGCAGUUCCAAACCCAUUCAUACUCA